UAGUUUUGAUAGAGAAUUAUAUCAACCACCUAGAAGGAAUGGUUGAGUAUCUAUAUCCUUAGUAGGAGCCAUGCUUCCACUAAGGAAUUGGAUAAUUCUUAUAUGACUACAUUAAAGGUCUUAGUAUGACUAAAACUUGAAGUAUGGUGUAUGACAUCGUAUAAUUAAAUGAAUAGACUUGAUAAAACAAGUCACAUAUUCAAAAAGGAAUUACUUUAGAAGGAAUUCUUUUGUAUGUGAUUCGUUUAAAUAACUUGUGUUAGCUAGAGUUGUUGAUGGUCUCAAAAUUGUUGAGACAUCAUCAAUAAACUAAUGGAUCUCAAUGAUUCUCAAUGGAUCCAAGACAAGUUAGUGGGAGCAAUAUGCAUUCAAAUCAAGAAAAUUUAAUUGUUAAUUUUGAAUGAAUGCUAAGUUGCAACAAGGCCAGAGGGAGUGAUGUCAUAAUUUGAGCAACAAGAUGUGAAUAAAGUCUAUUUGAUAGACUUGAUGAAACAUAGAUGUUACUCGAAAAAUGACAAAACAUGACACGGUCAAUUUUGAAGUAUAGACUUGAAAUUAGACUUACUGAUAUAGCAAGGCUAUCUCAAUAAUGUUAUAUGGGAAUUAAAUCUCAAAUGUUGAAGAUUUAAGAAAGCAUUUUCCUAUGUGAUAAGAAAUCACUUUCAUAACCCUUAUAAUGAAUGUGUCAUAAAAUCACAAAAGGGACACAUGUGUUGACUUGUGAAGUAGAUAUCCAAAGGUGAAGAAACCACUAAGUGUAUCACUUUAAGAUAUUACUAUAUCCCAGGAUCAGAACCAAAGCAACUGAUAGAGUAUUAUUGCCUUUAAGAAAGAAACAUCAGAGUGGGACUCUGGAAGCGUGCAUUCACUUAGAUUGUUAACCAAAGUGAAAAUAAGCCAUUUUAACAAAUGGAACUUCAUAAUGGAUGAAGUACUAAUCAUAUGAAUGAAUUGUUAGUAUUGUACUACAAUGGUCUCAAGCUUGGAGCAAAGUUUGUAUAAAGUAUACAAACGAAAUAUAUGUAGAUAUAUAGUUUUAGAAACUGCUUCAAAAGGUGUUUUGAAUGAAAUGGGUUCUUUUAGAACCCAUGAUUGAAUCCAAACCAUAAGGUCGUUAGUAGAGUACUACGACGUAAUGGGGCGAUAGCUCAAGCCAUGGAAUCAAGGUCUCAUCAAAGUAUUCAAACACAUUAAAGAGACAUCAUCAAAUGUCUUGGAAACAUUUGAUAAGUAAAUCCCUUUUA
This 1244-nucleotide long non-coding RNA is filed under the name Malus domestica (apple). Its description in RNAcentral is "long non-coding RNA (MDOM_LNC000657)". Lineage: Eukaryota; Viridiplantae; Streptophyta; Magnoliopsida; Rosales; Rosaceae. The record is from RNAcentral.